RNAcentral lists this ribosomal RNA (468 nucleotides) under uncultured bacterium. RNAcentral's name for it is "partial 16S ribosomal RNA". It matches the Rfam family "Bacterial small subunit ribosomal RNA", at positions 28 to 507 of the family's 1533-position model. The record is from RNAcentral.
GACGAACGCUGGCGGCGUGCUUAACACAUGCAAGUCGAACGGAAAGGCCCUGCUUUUGUUGGGUGCUCGAGUGGCGAACGGGUGAGUAACACGUGAGUAACCUGCGCUUGACUUUGGGAUAACUUCAGGAAACUGUGGCUAAUACCGGCUAGGAGCUCCUGCUGCAUGGUGGGGGUUGGAAAGUUUCGGUGGUUGGGGAUGGACUCGCGGCUUAUCAGCUUGUUGGUGGGGUAGUGGCUUACCAAGGCUUUGACGGGUAGCCGGCCUGAGAGGGUGACAGGCCACAUUGGGACUGAGAUACGGCCCAGACUCCUACGGGAGGCAGAAGUGGGGAAUAUUGCACAAUGGGCGGAAGCCUGAUGCAGCAACGCCGCGUGCGGGAUGACGGCCUUCGGGUUGUAAACCGUUUUCGCCUGGGAAGAAGCGUGAGUGACGGUAAUGGGUAAAGAAGCAACGGCUAACUACGUG